Oryctolagus cuniculus (rabbit) is the source of this 605-nucleotide long non-coding RNA. RefSeq lists it as uncharacterized. The record is from RefSeq and is a predicted model, not a curated record. Lineage: Eukaryota; Metazoa; Chordata; Mammalia; Lagomorpha; Leporidae.
GCCGCGGACGCCGCUCCGCACCGAGCCCCUCUCCUCGCCGCGCGCCGGACCGCGUCCCGCCCCGCGGCCCCGCCCCCCGCUCCGCGGGGCGCCGCGCCCGGUGCUGGAUCGGGCCCGAGGAAGGCAGCGGAGCCGGUGUGGACGUGGAAGGCAGAUCACUUCCAACGCUGAGAAAAUUGAGGUGGUGCAGGUACCCUUUGGCCUCUUCCCAGCUGCCUCUCUGAAUGCUACUUCCCUUCCUCCCUGUCUGAGACUCCAUCUGGAAGCUCCCUUAGAGUUUAUUUUUUUUAACUUUACAGUUUUUUAGUUCACACGCUUUUUAUUUUCAUUAGAGUCAUAAGGCUUAUGCUCCACUAAAUAAAGAGUUCAACAAAUAAAAACAGACCACAGUUCAGCAGGAAAAUAGGCAAGAGCUAUAAACAAUCAAAUAAAAAGAUGUUCAUCUUCACUCAUAAAUUUUUUAAAUCACAAUCAUUACACUGUCACAAUUAAAUAAUUACACAAAGUCACAAUUAAAUAAUUAGAAAUAUAGUAGUAUAUGAUGCCUGUCAGCUUGUUUGGCAGAGAUUAAAAUAAAGUUUGACAAAACACUGUAGCAAAACUGA